Molecule: ribosomal RNA, 492 nt
Filed under: uncultured bacterium
Lineage: Bacteria
Description: partial 16S ribosomal RNA
Rfam family: Bacterial small subunit ribosomal RNA
Source: RNAcentral
AGUGAACGCUGGCGGUAGGCCUAACACAUGCAAGUCGAACGGCAGCACAGUAAGAGCUUGCUCUUACGGGUGGCGAGUGGCGGACGGGUGAGGAAUACAUCGGAAUCUACUUUUUCGUGGGGGAUAACGUAGGGAAACUUACGCUAAUACCGCAUACGACCUACGGGUGAAAGCAGGGGAUCUUCGGACCUUGCGCGAUUGAAUGAGCCGAUGUCGGAUUAGCUAGUUGGCGGGGUAAAGGCCCACCAAUGCGACGAUCCGUAGCUGGUCUGAGAGGAUGAUAGGCCACACUGGAACUGAGACACGGUCCAGACUCCUACGGGAGGCAGCAGUGGGGAAUAUUGGACAAUGGGAGCAAGCCUGAUCCAGCCAUACCGCGUGGGUGAAGAAGGCCUUCGGGUUGUAAAGCCCUUUUGUUGGGAAAGAAAAGCAGCAGGUUAAUACCCCGCUGUUCUGACGGUACCCAAAGAAUAAGCACCGGCUAACUUCGUG